This 508-nucleotide ribosomal RNA is filed under the name uncultured bacterium. Its description in RNAcentral is "partial 16S ribosomal RNA". It matches the Rfam family "Bacterial small subunit ribosomal RNA", at positions 28 to 523 of the family's 1533-position model. The record is from RNAcentral.
GACGAACGCCGGCGGCGUGCCUAAUACAUGCAAGUCGAGCGGGUUUGUUCCUUCGGGGACAAGCUAGCGGCGGACGGGUGAGUAACACGUAGGUAACCUGCCUUCAAGAUCGGGAUAACUUUCGGAAACGAACGCUAAGACCGGAUAGCUGGUUUUCUCGCAUGAGAGAAUCAUGAAACACGGAGCAAUCUGUGGCUUGAAGAUGGGCCUGCGGCGCAUUAGCUAGUUGGUAGGGUAACGGCCUACCAAGGCGGCGAUGCGUAGCCGACCUGGGAGGGUGAACGGCCACACUGGGACUGAGACACGGCCCAGACUCCUACGGGAGGCGGCAGUAGGGAAUCUUCCGCAAUGGACGCAAGUCUGACGGAGCAACGCCGCGUGAGUGAUGAAGGUUUUCGGAUCGUAAAGCUCUGUUGCCCUAGACGAACAGCAGGGAGAGUAACUGCUCUCUGUGUGACGGUAUAGGAGAAGAAAGCCCCGGCUAACUACGUGCCAGCAGCCGCGGUAA